GAUGAACGCUGGCGGCGUGCCUAAUACAUGCAAGUCGAACGCUGAAGGAAGGAGCUUGCUCUUUCCGGAUGAGUUGCGAACGGGUGAGUAACGCGUAGGUAACCUGCCUGGUAGCGGGGGAUAACUAUUGGAAACGAUAGCUAAUACCGCAUAACAGUAGAUGUUGCAUGAUAUCUACUUAAAAGGUGCAAUUGCACCACUACCAGAUGGACCUGCGUUGUAUUAGCUAGGUGGUGAGGUAACGGCUCACCAAGGCGACGAUACAUAGCCGACCUGAGAGGGUGAUCGGCCACCCUGGGACUGGGACACGGCCCAGACUCCUUCGGGAGGGAGGCGUAGGGAAUCUUCGGCAAUGGACGGAAGUCUGACCGAGGAACGCCGCGGGAGUGAAGAAGGGUCUCGGAUCGUUAAGCUCUGUUGUAAGAGAAGAACGAGUGUGAGAGUGGAAAGUUCACACUGUGACGGUACCUGACCAGAAAGGGACGGCUAACUACGUG
Molecule: ribosomal RNA, 497 nt
Filed under: uncultured bacterium
Lineage: Bacteria
Description: partial 16S ribosomal RNA
Rfam family: Bacterial small subunit ribosomal RNA
Source: RNAcentral